Molecule: non-coding RNA, 1208 nt
Organism: Erythranthe guttata (spotted monkey flower)
Lineage: Eukaryota; Viridiplantae; Streptophyta; Magnoliopsida; Lamiales; Phrymaceae
Source: RefSeq, a predicted model, not a curated record
AAAAGUUGUGGACUUCUCUCAAUGUUGUUUGCUCUACCACCACCCCCAAUCCACGAGUCCACCAACCAAUUCAGGAAUUCUCAGCAUACAUCUAUUUCCCCAAAUCGGCGGCUCAGACGACAAUGAAUUAAUGCAUCUUCCGCCGACAACUCGAUCGUAAUAAGCUCAGCGGUGGCACUGUCUAGGGAGCUUCAAUCGCGGCUUGGAUCGCGAAUUUGCCCCUUCUAAGGCUGACGAGAUCGACGAUUGGCGGGCGGGGAAGAAAUAAUCUUCCAAUAACGUCUCCGACAGGAAGGAGAGGGGAGAGAGAGGGGGUUUCUUCUCCGAUUUCCAAUCGCGAGCAGAUGGCGUCAGCAAUUGGUCGUUUCUCUCCCUUUCUUCAUUUGUAUAAUUAAUUAUUCAAAAUUUAUUUAAGGAUUUUCUAAUGUUUGGAAUUAACUUAGGUAUUGGAAAAUCACAUGUUAGAAAUUUAGUUAGUGUUAGUUUGGAUACUUGAAAUCGAGUUGGCUAUCUUAAAUUGUGUGUUUCAUAUUUUUAGAAUUUGGUUUUACGUCUGUCUGCUGAGCCACCUUCUUCCACCUUCUUCUGAACAACUUGAUCCCAUAAUGACUAAUUGCGCUUUCCCAUAUGAGAAUUUAUCAUAAUUGCCAUUUAAUCAAUCUGUGGCCAAGGCUUCAUACUUGUAUAUAUGUUUAUUUCACUUAAUUUAGGUAACAUGUAUUGCGUAUUUCUUCUCGGCCACCGGCUACUGUGAUCACCGUAUCCGAAGUGCUGGAGCUUGCUGAAACCAGAGCAUCGCUCUCCCUGUACGACGUCAUACUGCCGGAAACUCUCAAGUUCUCUGCUCUCCAGCGUCUCGGAUUUCCCAAUGCCACCGAAUUCCGUGCUAAGGAUCUCGAUUGCUCUAAUGCCCCGUCGACUUUUGUACAUUACAUCUCUGGCAUCGUCGAUGAACUGAAAGAAUGAUGCUGAUGGCACCAUGUUACAUGCUUUUGAAGACUGAAGUUGGUAUGUUCUAAAGAAAAUUUCAGACACCUUGUACUUUUACCUCUCGAGGGGUAUCUGAAAGAAAGAAUUUUAUGGAGGACAUAUCUCUAUAUAUUUCCCAUUCUAGGGCACAACAAUACUAUAAUUCAUAACAAGAAACAACUUUCAGACACCUUGUACUUGUAAAAUUGUCUCAAUGUGGCCCUCGCCGUUAGUUUUCA